RNAcentral lists this long non-coding RNA (2102 nucleotides) under Homo sapiens (human). RNAcentral describes it as "HSALNT0203528". The record is from RNAcentral. Lineage: Eukaryota; Metazoa; Chordata; Mammalia; Primates; Hominidae.
UAGGAGAGAAGGGUCAGGAGAGAGGGGUCACAGAAGCCAGGAAGAACUAGGGUUUCAGGAGAGGAUGAAUAUUCAACAGUUGCAACUGCCAUAGAGAUGAAGCAAGAUAAGCACAACAAAUGUGUCAUUGGGCCUGGUAAUAUUGAGGGCAAUGAAGUUAUUAGUGAAAGUAGAUGCAGUGAAGUGUUGGAAUCAGAAGCCAGAAUGGAGUUGGGGGAAGAAUAAAUAGGAUGUAAGGAAAUAGAAACAGUAACUGUGAAGUCUUCUUUCAAGAAGUUUUAAGACUUUUACCUAACAAGGAAGCAAUAAAUGGUAGCUAGAGGAGGGUGUAUAUUCAAGAAUGACAUUGUUUUAAGAUGAGAAAGGUUUGAGCUCUAGUGACUGAAUUGUUCCAGGAUAAAGUAAAAUAAACAAGAGAAUAAUUUUAAAAAUCAAAUAGAGUAAUAACAACUAAGUCACCGAAAAGAUGGGCCAUGGAGUCUAAACUACAUAGAGAAGAAGGUAAAGGUCAGAUUGGCGAUAGAAAUUGUUCAGAAGAAGCAUAAAGGGAAGAGAGUAAAAGGAAUAAGAGAAAAGCAUAGCAGAUUUGAAUCAGACACUGAGAUGUUUAUGUUUAAGUUUCUACAGUGAAUCUGAGUAAGGAACUAAAGAAGAGUGAUGUAUUAACCAAACAUGUUUUUGGUACAAGUCAGCUCAAUGAUAGGUGUGAGAAAUAUCUAGAACAUAAUCUUGGAAAUAUGCUUCUGAAAUGCAGCAGAGGUGAAAGAAGCUGGGACUAAGAAGAGCAAGGAACUGAAGGGCUACCAGUUGGACUACUCAGCAAGGAAGAACAGAUAAGCAGAAGGAUGAGCAAACACGGAAGAGGAGAGGAGGAAGAGGGAAGACUGAGACAAUGUGCAGCAAGGCAGAGGAAGCAAAGAGGAAAAGGAUGCAAUUCUUCUGAAGUGAGUGGCCAAAGGACCUGUUCCAGAAUAUGGAUGCCCAACAUUUAAUUUGAGGUUUUUGUUUUUGUUGGCAUUUUGAGAUGUAAGCCUCAUCUCCAUUUCUUCUUCCCUUCUUUCCAAAACCCAACACAACUUCUUUAACGUAACCUACUCUCACAAAGGCAUGUGUUUGUGUACCUCUUACUGCUGUUUUCAUUUUUGCUAUUCUGCAUUUGUGUGUGUGUUUGCAAUUCAGGGAAGGGCUAAUUUUCUGUAAUUGAGUAAACUGGGUUUGGGGUAAAUGUUAUAUACAAGUAAUCUGGGAUGGAGGGUGCAAACAUCAAGGCAGGAAUGUAAUUUGUUAGGAUUUUGCAUCAAUUUGGAGGAGAAAUUGAAUUUCCAUGAACCAUACAUUUGGAGACUGGAUCCAAAAUUAAGUAGGUCUUAAAGAGAGUACUGGAUGUAGUUCCUGCCCUCAUGAAACUAGUGGAGAGAUGACAAAUGAAAAUCAAUGUGGCCAAGAUACUUGCGGCUCAGUGAAUAUCCACGUAUUCCUGCUUAUUUCCAACCUCUCUUGUAAUUUGGUAUGGCUGUAUGGCCAAUUCUAGAAAAUAGUCUAUGAAAGAACAUUUCAGUUAACAUUUUCUGACCAAAGCAUAUAAAAGUCAGUGUGAAAAUCUGUAGCUCUCUUCGCCAUGAAAGCCACAUGUUAUGGAGAGUGUGGCUACCAUGUCCAAGGUGUCUGAGUCCCUGAGCUAUCAUGUGAAAACAGUUGCCAAGGUAUCUGAGUCCCUGAGCAGUCAUGUAAAAACAGUUGCCCUAAAGAGUCACCAAGUCCACAGACGACUUAGCAUAAUGGAGAAAUAUAAUACCAUGUGUUACUUCACCACAAUUUCAGGAGGAGCUUAGCUUAAUACUAUGAUUAAGGGCAAUACAGUGUUAUGGACACUAAGAUACAAAUAUGGAUGGGGUAUUUUGGAAGGCAAAGGAGGGGAAUUAAAUUUUAUUGGUGGAAAGCAAUGUCAGAAAAAAGCAUCUUGCAAUUUAACUUUUAAGGAAGCAACAAAGUAAACAUCAGAGAGUAAUGAACAGAAAAUUGGAUUAAAAAGAGAAAAAUACCUAAUGCAUGCGGGGUUUAAAACCUAGAUGACGGGUUGAUAGGUACAGCAAACCACCAUG